This 2871-nucleotide small RNA is filed under the name Pongo abelii (Sumatran orangutan). RNAcentral describes it as "retained intron". The record is from RNAcentral. Lineage: Eukaryota; Metazoa; Chordata; Mammalia; Primates; Hominidae.
UUAUCUUUGGUAAUACUGAGUGUGCUUAUAUACACAGCACCUACUCUUUCUAGAAAACGUCCUCCUUUGGUGCUUUUUAUACGGACGCCCUUUUGUUUAUUUACUUAUCCCAGUCCUCAAACAUGCAUGUAUUCAAACACGCACACCCUCUCCUUCCCCAGUGUCCUCCGUUUUCUCCUUUUAUCAUUAGGUUUCAUUUCUGGCCAUGUGGAAGUGAAGAGAAUUCCUGUGAUGUCAUCCCUUCACACGCCACUUGUGGCACUCGUCAGUGGUUCCUCUUUGAUAGGAUGCAAGUGCUGCAUGCAGAGAGAGGUUGCCAUUCCUCUCUCCAAGUCCCAGAGCAGAUGGUACUUAGGCAUGGCAAUCCGUGCUGCUUCAGCUGCAGAAGUACUUUCGACCUGUAUUUUCUACCCCUUUUCACCCUUGAAGACUUGGUUCAUCUCCUUUCCCCAUUUCACAGAAUAUUUUUAUAUGAGAACAUAAAAACCACACCCUUACGAUGUUAUCUUUCAACAGGUUUAAAAAUGUUAUCUUUGAAAUCAGUCCAACAGAAGAAGUUGGAGACUUUGAAGUGAAAGCCAAAUUCAUGGGAGUUCAAAUGGAGACUUUUAUGUUACAUUAUCAGGACCUGCUGCAGCUACAGUAUGAAGGAGUUGCAGUCAUGAAAUUAUUUGAUAGAGCUAAAGUAAAUGUCAACCUGCUGAUCUUCCUUCUCAACAAAAAGUUCUACGGGAAGUAAUUGAUCGUUUGCGGCCAGCCCAGAAGGAUGAAGGAAAGAAGCACCUCACAGCUCCUUUCUAGGUCCUUCUUUACUCAUUGGAAGCAAAGACCUAGCCCACAACAGCGCCUCAAUCUGAUACGCUCCCGAUGCCACAUUUUUAACUCCUCUUGCUCUGAUGGGACAUUUGUUACCCUUUUUUCAUAGUGAAAUUGUGUUUCAGGCUUAGUCUGACCUUUCUGGUUUCUUCAUUUUCUUCCAUUACUUAGGAAAGAGUGGAAACUCCACUAAAAUUUCUCUGUGUUGUUACAGUCUUAGAGGUUGCAUUACUAUAUUGUAAGCUUUGGUGUUUGUUUUAAUUAGCAAUAGGGAUGGUAGGAUUCAAAUUUGUGUCAUUUAGAAGUGGAAGCUAUUAGCACCAAUGACAUAAAUACAUACAAGACACACAACUAAAAUGUCAUGUUAUUAACAGUUAUUAGGUUGUCAUUUAAAAAUAAAGUUUCUUUAUAUUUCUGUCCCAUCAGGAAAAUUGAAGGAUAUGGGGAAUCAUUGGUUAUCUUCCAUUGUGUUUUUCUUUAUGGACAGGAGCUAAUGGAAGUGACAGUCAUAUGUUCAAAUGAAGCAUUUCUAGAAAAAAGGAGAUAUUGUUUUUAAAUUUCAUUAUCAAACUUGGGCAAUUCUGUUUGUGUAACUCCCCGACUAGUGGAUGGGAGAGUCCCAUUGAUAAAAUUCAGCUACUCAGAUAAAUUCAGAAUGGGUCAAGACACCUGCCUGUUUGUGUUGGUGCACAGAGAUUGACUUGAUUCAGAGAGACAAUUCACUCCAUCCCUAUGGCAGAGGAAUGGGUUAGCCCUAAUGUAGAAUGUCAUUGUUUUUAAAACUGUUUUAUAUCUUAAGAGUGCCUUAUUAAAGUAUAGAUGUAUGUCUUAAAAUGUGGGUGAUAGGAAUUUUAAAGAUUUAUAUAAUGCAUCAAAAGCCUUAGAAUAAGAAAAGGUUUUUUUAAAUUGGUUUAUCUGUAUAUCUGAACUCUUGAAACUUAUAGUUAAAACACUAGGAUUUAUCUGCAGUGUUGCAGAGAGAGAAUUCUGCCUUAAAUUGUCUAAAACAAAAACAAAACCAGCCAACCUAUGUUACACGUGAGAUUAAAACCAAUUUUUUUCCCAUUUUUUCUCCUUUUUUUCUCUUGCUGCCCACAUUGUGCCUUUAUUUUAUGAGCCCCAGUUUUCUGGGCUUAGUUUUAAAAAAAAAUCAAGUCUAAACAUUGAAUUUAGGAAGUUUUUGUUCUUGGAUAAAAAGUCAUAUACUUUAAAAAAAAAAAAACCUUUUCCAGGAAAAUAUAUUGAAAUCAUGCUGCUGAGCCUCUAUUUUCUUUCUUUGAUGUUUUGAUUCGGUAUUCUUUUGUCAUAAAUUUUUAGCAUUUAAAAAUUCACUGAUGUACAUUAAGCCAAUAAACUGCUUUAAUGAAUAACAAACUAUGUAGCGUGUCCCUAUUAUAAAUGCAUUGGAGAAGUAUUUUUAUGAGACUCUUUACUCAGGUGCAUGGUUACAGCCCACAGGGAGGCGUGGAGUGCCAUGGAAGGAUUCACCACUACCCAGACCUUGUUUUUUGCUGUAUUUUGGAAGACAGGUUUUUUAAAUAAACAUUUUCCUCAAAUUAAAAGAUGAUGCUAUUACAACUAGCAUUGCCUCAAAAACGGACCAACCAAAGUGUGUCAACCCUGUUUACUUAAAAGAGGCUGUGAAUCCCAAAGGCCACAUCCAAGACAGGCAAUAAUGAGCAGAGUUUACACCUCCUUUAAUAAAAUGUGUCAGUAAUUUUAAGGUUUAUAGUUCCCUCAACACAACUGCUAAUGCAGAAUAGUGUAAAAUGCACCUCAAGAAUGUUGAUGAUGAUGAUAGAGAAUUGUGGCUUUAGUAGCAUAGAGGAUGCCCCAGCAAACUCAUGGCAUUGAAACCACGCAGUUCUCAUUACUGUUAUUUAUUAGCUGUAGCAUUCUCUGUCUCCUCUCUCUCCUCCUUUGACCUUCUCCUCGACCAGCCAUCAUGACAUUUACCAUGAAUUUACUUCCUCCCAAGAGUUUGGACUGCCCAUCAGAUUGUUGCUGCACACAGUUGCCUUUGUAUCUCUGUAUGAAAUAAAAGGUCAUUUGUUC